UACAGAGGUCUCGAGCGUUGUUCGGAUUCACUGGGCGUAAAGGGUGCGCAGGUGGGUUGGUAAGUUUGGUGUGAAAGCUUCGGGCUUAACCCGGAAAAUGCAUUGAAUACUACUGAUCUGGAGGGUUGGAGGGGGGACUGGAAUUCUUGGUGUAGCAGUGAAAUGCGUAGAUAUCGGGAGGAACACCUGUGGCGAAGGCGGCCAUCUGGACGACGAUUGACGCUGAGACGCGAAAGCGUGGGUAGCAAACAGG
Molecule: ribosomal RNA, 253 nt
Filed under: uncultured bacterium
Lineage: Bacteria
Description: partial 16S ribosomal RNA
Rfam family: Bacterial small subunit ribosomal RNA
Source: RNAcentral